Molecule: unclassified non-coding RNA, 242 nt
Filed under: rhizosphere metagenome
Description: partial ribosomal RNA internal transcribed spacer region
Source: RNAcentral
GUAGGUGAACCUGCGGAAGGAUCAUUACUGAGAGAGGGGCUUCGCGCUCCCGGGGCUUCGGCCCUAACCUCUUCACCCACUGUGUACCGUACCUUUGUCGCUUUGGCGGACCUUGGGGCCUCCCCGCUCUGGCUUUGUCGCCGGUGAGUGUCCGUCAGAGGCCUAUUCAAACCCAUUGUAUCAGUGAUGUCCGAGUCAAAACACAAUAAUAAAAACUUUCAACAACGGAUCUCUUGGUUCCA